Molecule: ribosomal RNA, 1346 nt
Filed under: uncultured bacterium
Lineage: Bacteria
Description: bacterial SSU rRNA
Rfam family: Bacterial small subunit ribosomal RNA
Source: RNAcentral
GACGAACGCUGGCUUUGUGCUUAACACAUGCAAGUCGAACGGAAAGGCCCUGCUUUUGUGGGGUGCUCGAGUGGCGAACGGGUGAGUAACACGUGAGUAACCUGCCCUUGACUUUGGGAUAACUUCAGGAAACUGGGGCUAAUACCGGAUAGGAGCUCCUGCUGCAUGGUGGGGGUUGGAAAGUUUCGGCGGUUGGGGAUGGACUCGCGGCUUAUCAGCUUGUUGGUGGGGUAGUGGCUUACCAAGGCUUUGACGGGUAGCCGGCCUGAGAGGGUGACCGGCCACAUUGGGACUGAGAUACGGCCCAGACUCCUACGGGAGGCAGCAGUGGGGAAUAUUGCACAAUGGGCGGAAGCCUGAUGCAGCAACGCCGCGUGCGGGAUGACGGCCUUCGGGUUGUAAACCGCUUUCGCCUGUGACGAAGCGUGAGUGACGGUAAUGGGUAAAGAAGCACCGGCUAACUACGUGCCAGCAGCCGCGGUGAUACGUAGGGUGCGAGCGUUGUCCGGAUUUAUUGGGCGUAAAGGGCUCGUAGGUGGUUGAUCGCGUCGGAAGUGUAAUCUUGGGGCUUAACCCUGAGCGUGCUUUCGAUACGGGUUGACUUGAGGAAGGUAGGGGAGAAUGGAAUUCCUGGUGGAGCGGUGGAAUGCGCAGAUAUCAGGAGGAACACCAGUGGCGAAGGCGGUUCUCUGGGCCUUUCCUGACGCUGAGGAGCGAAAGCGUGGGGAGCGAACAGGCUUAGAUACCCUGGUAGUCCACGCUGUAAACGGUGGGUACUAGGUGUGGGGUCCAUUCCACGGGUUCCGUGCCGUAGCUAACGCUUUAAGUACCCCGCCUGGGGAGUACGGCCGCAAGGCUAAAACUCAAAGGAAUUGACGGGGCCCCGCACAAGCGGCGGAGCAUGCGGAUUAAUUCGAUGCAACGCGUAGAACCUUACCUGGGUUUGACAUGGAUCGGGAGCGCUCAGAGAUGGGUGUGCCUCUUUUGGGGUCGGUUCACAGGUGGUGCAUGGCUGUCGUCAGCUCGUGUCGUGAGAUGUUGGGUUAAGUCCCGCAACGAGCGCAACCCUUGUUCACUGUUGCCAGCACGUUAUGGUGGGGACUCAGUGGAGACCGCCGGGGUCAACUCGGAGGAAGGUGGGGAUGACGUCAAGUCAUCAUGCCCCUUAUGUCCAGGGCUUCACGCAUGCUACAAUGGCUGGUACAGAGAGUGGCGAGCCUGUGAGGGUGAGCGAAUCUCGGAAAGCCGGUCUCAGUUCGGAUUGGGGUCUGCAACUCGACCUCAUGAAGUCGGAGUCGCUAGUAAUCGCAGAUCAGCAACGCUGCGGUGAAUACGUUCCCGGGGCU